This 73-nucleotide transfer RNA is filed under the name Ixodes scapularis (black-legged tick). RNAcentral's name for it is "tRNA-Ser for anticodon GGA". The record is from RNAcentral. Lineage: Eukaryota; Metazoa; Arthropoda; Arachnida; Ixodida; Ixodidae.
UCCUGGUUAGCUCAAUGAAUAGAGUGCUCCCCUGGAAUUGGAGAGAUUCCUGGAUCGAUACCAGGACCAGGCU